ACAACGAAAGUGGUUGGACCGUCCUUCUGCGACGACCGUGAUCCCGUAAAAUAAUCAGUCCAGUACUAGUGUCCGCAUCAACUCCCCCCGGGUAAGAAGAAGUUGACCCCGACGAAUGACUCUGAUAGUACUCCAGGAGAUCUAGGUCAAUGCGCUGGAACUCCUCACGUGUAAUACAUGUAGCAUCGGACUUCGGGCGUCCUCGCCAGCGAACCAAGAAACGCUGAACACCCCCAUCACUGUUAGAAACAGUCUGCUCAUCUAAAAUGGCUUCAAUAUGUUCUUUUUGUGCUGGUGGUAAGGGUAAAUGGGUCGGAGAUGGUGUGGAAUCAAGAA
RNAcentral lists this long non-coding RNA (336 nucleotides) under Phoenix dactylifera (date palm). RNAcentral's name for it is "long non-coding RNA (PDAC_LNC005525)". The record is from RNAcentral. Lineage: Eukaryota; Viridiplantae; Streptophyta; Magnoliopsida; Arecales; Arecaceae.